This is a long non-coding RNA of Triticum dicoccoides, 2149 nucleotides long. RefSeq lists it as uncharacterized. The record is from RefSeq and is a predicted model, not a curated record. Lineage: Eukaryota; Viridiplantae; Streptophyta; Magnoliopsida; Poales; Poaceae. The transcript has 5 exons.
UGCGCGCGAGGGCCGAUGGGAGCCGACGCGAGCGACGGGAUCCAGCGGCGCGCGAGAUGCGGGUGAAUCGUGCGAUUGCCGAUUCAGCUGAGAGGAGGCGCGCGAGGGGAUCCAGCGCCGCGGGCGAUAAUGGCCGGCGCCCCAUCUGCCGGAAACUGCUCGCAAUCAUAUUCAGUUUCUUAGCGCGCAUUCAUGGCGAUUGAUGUGCCAAUCCCUUCUGCUGCCGAGCGGUACGUGUAUAUGCUUCCUCCUCUGGUACUCUUGGCUCGCCCUCUCUACUCAUGCCGGGUAGCGGGGUAGGGUUCCCUGUAUUGCUUUUUAGUUCAUUAUAAUUUAUUGUCGUACGAAGCAAUUACAUUUUCUUGAUGUCCUUUCAUACCAAAAAAGUGUGCUUACAGUUGAUGUUCAUGCUAGCGGUGCUCGAUUGAUUUUAUUUUGGAGCUUUAUACUGGAAUUUUUUGGUGUUGGUAACCUCAAAUGUCUUCUGGACAGGUAACAUCAAUAUUUUUACGUUGCACGAUUGUUUACAUUACAUCUUCCCUGUUGAUGCUGCACUACUUUCAGUUUCACUGGAGAUUUCCAUGCUCUUUGUACUUACGCCUCUUGAAGAUGGGCCAUAUCCUUCCUUUUGUUUAGACAAAGUGUCAGUAUGUUUAGUGUUUUCCUUUUGAUGUUCAGAAGCAGCGAUUGUGCUUUUGAACUAGCAGUGUCUGAGGCCAAUAUGUCACUGUUACAUACAGACCUACCAGGUCCACUGGAGUACUGCUUGAUAGAACUUUCUGUUUGCUGCCACUUUUUCACUAUUAUCUUUGUGCAUAGAUUUUCUGAAGCUCUCUGAGAAGUAACACCACUGGCGUUCGGUGCAACAAUUGUUCUUGUAACCUUGCCAUAUUUUGGAGGCAGAGGUUUGCCCUUAUUAUGCGUUACACAUGGUGGGCAAUACCAAUCUGCAUUAGACAUGCCUUCGUUCCCAUCCUGCUGAAGGCAAUUUAAGUCUAUUCCUCUCUCGCAAGCAUCACAAACGAGUAAACUCUCCACAAUAGUGGUGAAUGUUUUAUAUGUUUGACAGUCCAGCCGAGCAUGGAUAUACUCACUUGAUCACAGCAUCCAGCUAGGAUGAUUGGCAGGUUGAGUCAUAGGUGCCUUCUUUUCCUGAGAUUCCAGUGUUGCUUGUUCUUGAAAAGAUGUUCCUUGCGUCCUUGCCGUCAAUAAGAGUGCACAUGCUUUCGCUCCACGGCCAGUCAUGCAGAACUGGCUUCUCCAGACAGCAUCCAGCUUGCUGUUGUGGCACUCCAUUUCCAGAUAGAAUAGAGCCAGGUAUAGCCAAGUCCUCUAGAGGGAACCAUGCGAAUCAUUUGGAAUAAUCCUCUCGAGAAAUGAAAAGAAAAUAGUUUACUGAUCUGAAUAGUGAAGAGUAUUAAUCAAAGUGCUUCUUGAUAUUUCAGAAUCUUGCUUCAAGCUCCAUUGGCUAUUCAUCUUGAGAGAUUCCGGCAACCCAAAUAUACUAGAAGGCGGAAUCAUUUAUGCAAAAGGAGUUAAUUAUGUAGUUGAUUAGGAUUUGGAGUGGAACAUCUCCUGCAAAAAAAUAAAUAAAAAAUUUAUCUUGUUUGACCUCCAGGUGGAGGUGAGCACAACGACUUUUUCCUAUGGCUUGUGUUGGCUUUCACUUUCUGUUUUUUUUCCGUCCGUUGCUGACCAUAUCCAUUUGUUGAGAGCUUGAAAACAUCAGAUCAUGUGCUUUUCCAUUUCCACUAUUCACCCAGUAAAUGCUUUCUUCCAUCGAGGUUUCUGUAAUCAAACACAACUAAUCAUAUUACACUUGAUGAACUGACCCCUGCCAUUUGGUUGAAUGCAAACAAGAUCUUAAAUACCUAUGGUGCAGGCUUAUGAUUGAUUAUUAUACCGGCCAUGCCAUUUUGGUGAAUGGCAAAAGUGGAGUUGGAAGAAAGAUGCUUAUGCAAAAAAAUAAAAUUAGAAAUGCUUAUGCCCUAUCUUGCUUUUAUGUGGCUGGGCAAAGCUGAAUGUGUUGAUGACUGGUCGAGGCGAGCAGGUUUAAUUACUAUUUUUGUGUCACUAGUUAAUUUUUCAUUUCUCUUCCGCCUGCGCUGAAAUAGUGGAGAUGUGGACUAUGGACUAUCUUCUGGGAAUA